This 502-nucleotide ribosomal RNA is filed under the name uncultured Glomus. Its description in RNAcentral is "SSU rRNA". It matches the Rfam family "Eukaryotic small subunit ribosomal RNA", at positions 569 to 1074 of the family's 1831-position model. The record is from RNAcentral. Lineage: Eukaryota; Fungi; Glomeromycota; Glomeromycetes; Glomerales; Glomeraceae.
AGCAGCCGCGGUAAUUCCAGCUCCAAUAGCGUAUAUUAAAGUUGUUGCAGUUAAAAAGCUCGUAGUUGAAUUUCGGGGUUAGCAGGUCGGUCGUGCCAUCGGUAUGAACUGGUCUCGCUGAUCCCUCCCUCUUGACGAACUGUGAUGCCAUUAAUUUGGUGUCGCAGGGAAUCAGGACUGUUACUUUGAAAAAUUAGAGUGUUUAAAGCAGGCUCACGCUUGAAUACAUUAGCAUGGAAUAAUGAAAUAGGACGUUUGAUCCUAUUUUGUUGGUCUCUAGGAUUGACGUAAUGAUUAAUAGGGAUAGUUGGGGGCAUUAGUAUUCAAUUGUCAGAGGUGAAAUUCUUGGAUUUAUUGAAGACUAACUACUGCGAAAGCAUUUGCCAAGGAUGUUUUCAUUAAUCAAGAACGAAAGUUAGGGGAUCGAAGACGAUCAGAUACCGUCGUAGUCUUAACCAUAAACUAUGCCGACUAGGGAUCGGAUGAUGUUAAUUUUUAAUGA